UUUUGAAGUGGGAGGGGAUGAUGUGAUCAUGGAAAGCACCAAGGAAUGGAAUCAUGAACCUGAUCAUGGAGAACUUGUAGCUGUGGAAGAACCUACACUUGAAGAAUGUUUGAGCCGAAAUAAAGCUUCUAUCAUCAGAGACAACUUGAUCUACAUUCAAGCUACUCUACACUCAAGCUGAUCAUCAUCUAGGCAAGUAGCUUGUGUGUACUCUUUUUCCCUUGAUUGGUUUUGUCCCACUGGGUUUUCCAAUCAAGGUUUUUAAUGAGGCCACAAGUUACUUCUCUUACCUCCUAGAUGAUUGAUCUUGGUCUGUCCACAUGAAGACCUUAUCUUAUAUUUUAAGCUAUGCUUUUAUGUUAUUUAGUUUUCGAAAAAACUCUAGUCUUUGUUGUGUUUCCAAGGGAGCUUUUGUCUUUAUUUUCCUUGUAUUUUCGAGACCUUGUGCAUGUACAAGGCUUCUCCUUUAUAUUCUGGUCGUGGCCCCUUGUAUCAGCAUCCAUCUUUUUAUCAAAAACCUUUGUUUUCUCUUUUCUUCUUGCUUGUCGAGUUGAGUGAGUGUUGGUGUGUAAUAUCCAACUUCUGGUGUGUAAUAUCCAGAGACUAAGGGCUCUAGUUUGGUGUGUCAUAUCCGAUCUAUUGCCUAGGAGUAUCAAGGAGCCUUUCCGCAGCCUUUUGUGUCACCAUUCGAUCCACAUACCUUGAGAAACUUGAGUCUUUUGAUUCGUUUCUGCAAGGAUUAUCCCAUCUGUUCCAGAGCAUCAUCCUAGGAUCUCAUCAAGGAUGAAUCACUUUGUGAGAAGCUUGAUUUGGAUACAUAAAGUGGUGGAGAAUCACCAGGAAUUUGAAUAAAUCUCAUAGGAGUUGGGAUGAAGAAGUUAUUCAACUUUCAAAUCAGGUGAUUCCAGUUUCCCAGUUUGGGAAUAGCACAGCUUCUUCGUCGUUCCAAUCAAACCAGGAUGAAUCACUUUGUGAGAAGCUUUAUUUGGAUACAUAAAGUGGUGGAGAAUCACCAGGAAGUUUCGUUUUUGUGUUAAAAACUCUUCAUAUACCUUGCUGAGAAAGUUUUCUGAUUUACUUGAUCAAUCUGUUUCUGUUUCUGAAAUUUCGAAUUGUUUCUGUCUUGAUCUACUCUGUUUUGAUUAAACUUGAUGUACUAGACUUGAAAGUGAACCUGAAAUCAAAAUCUCUCUGUUCUGUUUCGAAAUCAAUCUGAUCUGUUAGGUUUGGGAUUUAUCAGUUCUGUUCAGAUUAGUUUUGAUCUGUUUUAAAUCAUUGGUUGAGUUUUUAAUUUGUUCUGAGAAUUGUCUAAGGUUUUAAGCUUCAGUUUGAAUCUGUUUCUGGUUUUGCAAAUUGAUUUUUGUUUUCUCUGUAGAACUUGUUACUGCUGUGUGUUGUUUUCUGUCUCAGGUACUAUGGCAGGAGAUCAGAACGGAAAGCUCACUAAGGAAGAAAGGCUGUUACUUAAAUCUAUGAAUGCUCAUCUGCAGCAGAUGAUGGAUAACAACAUGGGUGAAUUUCAAAAGGAGCUUAGACAAAAGUUUCUGCAGCAAACUGAUGAUCUUAGGCAGAAAAAUAAAAAGAGAAUGGACAGUCAAAAGCUUGAGCCAAGAUCACCCGAUUCUGUUCAAAACAAGUCAAGCAAGCAUAAGUGGUAUAAGGAAGAGGAAGCAGGACGUGGACAACAGUCUUACAAACAGACAGGCCACACUUCGAGCAGACCACAUCAAGCUUCUCGCACUCCUAAAUCAAAUAUUCAUUCUUCUUACAAUCAAAUUGUCACUAAGCCUCAACUUUAUGUUUUUACAGGGGAAGGUGAUUAUUUAAAGUGGGAAAGAACAAUGGAGAAGUGGCUUUGCUACAACAAAAUCCUGAAGAGAGAAGCAUUGGCUUAUGUGAUGUCUCAGCUCAAAGGAAACGUUUUUAAGUGGUUGUUGCAAGAAGAAGAUGAUCGCAGGUACUACAAGGAACCAGCUAUCACCACUUGGGAAGAUCUGAAGUUGCUACUAAGGAAGAAGUAUGCAUCCAAAGGCCACACUUCUCUGAAAUCUCCAAAGAAGAAAGUCAUAUCCGCAACAGACUUCAAAAGUGAAAAAUCAGAAACCAAGAUGGCUGAUUAUGAGAAAGAAAUCAGCAGCCUUGUUAAGGAGAUUCUUAAGACCAGCAAGCACUUGGACAAGCAGAAGAAGCUCCCAAAGAAUCAAGAACCAGUUGCUACUGUCUCAGAACUCAAUGAUGCAGAACCAGACUCAGCUGCCCCAAUUCAAGAAGCUCAAACCAAAACAUCUAUGGGAAAAGGAAAGUUUGAGAAAGAACAAGAGUUUUCUCUGUUCUUACCUCACUCUGAAUCUAAUUUUGAUAAUUCCUUUGAUGAACUAACUUGUCUUGAACCGGUGCAACCGAGUAGAAUUGUUUCAGUGUCACAGGUUGCAAAAGAAGACUCAGCAGAAAAAGAACCAGAGAGUACAACACAAGAGGAACAACAGAAAAACUUGCAGACAGAAUCAGCUCAUGAAUCUUUGUCUUAUGAUCUGCAAGAGCACUGUAAGGAGUUUAAUAUGGUUGCUUCUGUGCCUAGAAUGUUUGUUAAAGUGAGUACUGAAGACAUAAAACGUUUUGGUCUUGAUAAAGUAAAAGAUUUUUGUGUUUCAAAUUCUGUUUUUGAUAACAUGUUUAAAUCUUUUAAAGAACUUAAACCAGAAAUCAUCUUUGAUCAAAAACGUUUUCAAAAUCAAAAUAAUAACAUUUCUGGUCAUAUUCUGAGUUUUGAUCAUUUUCUGAAACAUGGGAAAAGUUUUGAUCAUUUUGAAAAGGUUUUAGAGCUUGAAUUGAAACAAUCUGAUUUCUGUUUGAAACCUUGUGAUUCAUUUGUUAGAACUGAAGAAAGAAGUUUUGUUACGAACUUCCAUGUGCAUAAACUGAUCCUUGAUAAUUCUUUUGUUUCUGCUUAUGAAUUGAAUGAACCUAAGAAGUUGCAGGAACCGAAAUUGCAUAAAUCUGAUUUUAGAUUUAAAUUUGUGAAAUCUGCAAAGUUCUCUAAGUUUGAGCUUGAUAAUGAUUCUAAACAUGUAGGUUGGUUCUUUGAUGAUAUUCUAGUGUAUAACACUCUCUUUGAUAAACCUGCUGCACAAUUGAAACUAGAUAUCACUGAUUCUGAAUGUGUGAACUUGAACCUUAAUGAUAUUUGGGUCUACAAUACUUCCUUUGAUAUGAUAACACACUUGACUUGUCCAAAAAGAGCUGAGAAGUGUACAGGUAAAAAGAGGGGCUAUACUGAUGAGUCCUUGGCUAAGCUGGAGAUGCAACAAUCAAAUCUUGGAAGCUGUCUAGCCGCCAACUCUGACAUAGGAGCAGUCCGAGGAUCAUAUCUCAGCAACCAGAAGGAAUUAAGCAACAAACUCAACUGCAAUGGAAACUACACUCAUCAGGGUCUCACGUCGAACUGGAAUCAUGUCCAAAGCUUCUCAAAUGAAAGAGUUAUGGGUUCUACAAGACGGGUGAUUCUGUGUUUGCUUUGUCUGAACUUUUCUAAGUGUAGAACAUCUCAAUCCUAUCUAUGGCGACCAGGUGAGCAUGCUAAGGUAACUAAUCAUGUUUUCAAGAGUUCUUUUAUUGAUUACACAGAUAUGAUGCACUUGUUUUUGCCAAAAGAGUCAUGUGCAGAUUAUAUGGAAGCUUUGAAGAAUGCAAAGAGAAAGAACAAGCGUGAGGAAGACAAACGUUUCAAGCUGCCUGAUCUAAGCCAGGAGAGACAUCAUGACGUCACUUGCUUCAUCCUCAUCAAAGAAGCACCUCCAGAUGCAGCAUACAAGCCAAAACCGAUAAAAUACAACUUUGGGAUAAUACUCUUACUCUAUGAUGUUUUUGCUUGUGUUCACUUAUCUUGUUUCAAUGUAUCAGGUUUAAGUAAUGCCUCAGGAGUAAGGAGAGCCAAAUGGAUCAGUCCCUUCUAUAUAAUAGAACCAGUCAGCGACAAUGCCUAUCAAAGAGGCUUGCAAGGUAAGUGUAAUCUGAUUAUAAACUCUGAUGUUACUGACUUGGUCCCUUCUAUUGCAGGUAACACAGAUUUGAGGACAAAUCUUUUUGAAGUGGGAGGGGAUGAUAUGAUCAUGGAAAGCACCAAGGACUGGAAGCAUGAACCUGAACCUGAAGAGCUUGUAGCUGAGGAUGCAACCUUGAAGAACAUUUGGAAACAAGAAGAAUACAUUAGUCUUGGCCGAAGCUUGAUCAUCCAAGACACCUUAACCAUCAUUCAAGCUACUCCACCUUCAAGCUGAUCAUCAUCUAGGCAAGUAGCUUGUGUGUGCUCUUUUCCUAACCUUUGGUUUUGUCCCACUGGGUUUUCCAAAGGAAGGUUUUUAAUGAGGCCACAAGUUACUUCUCCUAUCUCCUAGAUGAUUGAUCUUGGUCUGUCCACAUGAAGACCUUAUGUUAUAUAAUUUUAUCUAAGUUUUUAUGCUAUGUUUUUAUUUUCGAAAACUCUAGUCUUUGUUGUGUUUCCAAGGGAGCCUUGUCUUUAUUUUCUUUGUAUUUUCGAGACCUUGUGCAUGUACAAGGCUUCUCCUUUAUAUUCUGGUCGUGGCCCCUUGUAUCAGUAUCCAUCUUUUUAUCAAAAACCUUUGUUUUCUCUUUUCUUCUUGCUUGUCGAGUUGAUUGAGUGUUGGUGUGUAAUAUCCAACUUCUGGUGUGUAAUAUCCAGAGACUAAGGGCUCUAGUUUGGUGUGUCAUAUCCGAUCUAUUGCCUAGGAGUAUCAAGGAGCCUUUCCGCAGCCUCUUGUGUCACCAUUCGAUCCACAUACCUUGAGAAGCUUGAGUCUUUUGAUUCGUUUCUGCAAGGAUUAUCCCAUCUGUUCCAGAGCAUCAUCCUAGGAUCUCAUUAAGUGGUAUCAGAGCAACUCUGGAAGGGAAGUGUUCAUCUUUCUCUAUGAUUUUCGAUUCGUCUCUUCAUAUUCAUGCUGGAAACUGAUAGAUCUGUGUUGUGGCUGUCGAAAUCUGAUAGAUUAAGGUUAUCUGAUUUCGUUUUUGUGUUAAAAACUCUUCAUAUACCUUGCUGAGAAAGUUUUCUGAUUUACUUGAUCAAUCUGUUUCUGUUUCUGAAAUUUCGAAUUGUUUCUGUCUUGAUCUACUCUGUUUUGAUUAAACUUGAUGUACUGGACUUGAAAGUGAACCUGAAAUCAAAAUCUCUCUGUUCUGUUUCGAAAUCAAUCUGAUCUGUUAGGUUUGGGAUUUAUCAGUUCUGUUCAGAUUAGUUUUGAUCUGUUUUAAAUCAUUGGUUGAGUUUUUAAUUUGUUCUGAGAAUUGUCUAAGGUUUUAAGCUUCAGUUUGAAUCUGUUUCUGGUUUUGCAAAUUGAUUUUUGUUUUCUCUGUAGAACUUGUUACUGCUGUGUGUUGUUUUCUGUCUCAGGUACUAUGGCAGGAGAUCAGAACGGAAAGCUCACUAAGGAAGAAAGGCUGUUACUUAAAUCUAUGAAUGCUCAUCUGCAGCAGAUGAUGGAUAACAACAUGGGUGAAUUUCAAAAGGAGCUUAGACAAAAGUUUCUGCAGCAAACUGAUGAUCUUAGGCAGAAAAAUAAAAAGAGAAUGGACAGUCAAAAGCUUGAGCCAAGAUCACCCGAUUCUGUUCAAAACAAGUCAAGCAAGCAUAAGUGGUAUAAGGAAGAGGAAGCAGGACGUGGACAACAGUCUUACAAACAGACAGGCCACACUUCGAGCAGACCACAUCAAGCUUCUCGCACUCCUAAAUCAAAUAUUCAUUCUUCUUACAAUCAAAUUGUCACUAAGCCUCAACUUUAUGUUUUUACAGGGGAAGGUGAUUAUUUAAAGUGGGAAAGAACAAUGGAGAAGUGGCUUUGCUACAACAAAAUCCUGAAGAGAGAAGCAUUGGCUUAUGUGAUGUCUCAGCUCAAAGGAAACGUUUUUAAGUGGUUGUUGCAAGAAGAAGAUGAUCGCAGGUACUACAAGGAACCAGCUAUCACCACUUGGGAAGAUCUGAAGUUGCUACUAAGGAAGAAGUAUGCAUCCAAAGGCCACACUUCUCUGAAAUCUCCAAAGAAGAAAGUCAUAUCCGCAACAGACUUCAAAAGUGAAAAAUCAGAAACCAAGAUGGCUGAUUAUGAGAAAGAAAUCAGCAGCCUUGUUAAGGAGAUUCUUAAGACCAGCAAGCACUUGGACAAGCAGAAGAAGCUCCCAAAGAAUCAAGAACCAGUUGCUACUGUCUCAGAACUCAAUGAUGCAGAACCAGACUCAGCUGCCCCAAUUCAAGAAGCUCAAACCAAAACAUCUAUGGGAAAAGGAAAGUUUGAGAAAGAACAAGAGUUUUCUCUGUUCUUACCUCACUCUGAAUCUAAUUUUGAUAAUUCCUUUGAUGAACUAACUUGUCUUGAACCGGUGCAACCGAGUAGAAUUGUUUCAGUGUCACAGGUUGCAAAAGAAGACUCAGCAGAAAAAGAACCAGAGAGUACAACACAAGAGGAACAACAGAAAAACUUGCAGACAGAAUCAGCUCAUGAAUCUUUGUCUUAUGAUCUGCAAGAGCACUGUAAGGAGUUUAAUAUGGUUGCUUCUGUGCCUAGAAUGUUUGUUAAAGUGAGUACUGAAGACAUAAAACGUUUUGGUCUUGAUAAAGUAAAAGAUUUUUGUGUUUCAAAUUCUGUUUUUGAUAACAUGUUUAAAUCUUUUAAAGAACUUAAACCAGAAAUCAUCUUUGAUCAAAAACGUUUUCAAAAUCAAAAUAAUAACAUUUCUGGUCAUAUUCUGAGUUUUGAUCAUUUUCUGAAACAUGGCAAAAGUUUUGAUCAUUUUGAAAAGGUUUUAGAGCUUGAAUUGAAACAAUCUGAUUUCUGUUUGAAACCUUGUGAUUCAUUUGUUAGAACUGAAGAAAGAAGUUUUGUUACGAACUUCCAUGUGCAUAAACUGAUCCUUGAUAAUUCUUUUGUUUCUGCUUAUGAAUUGAAUGAACCUAAGAAGUUGCAGGAACCGAAAUUGCAUCAAUCUGAUUUUAGAUUUAAAUUUGUGAAAUCUGAAAAGUUCUCUAAGUUUGAGCUUGAUAAUGAUUCUAAACAUGUAGGUUGGUUCUUUGAUGAUAUUCUAGUGUAUAACACUUUCUUUGAUAAACCUGCUGCACAAUUGAAACUAGAUAUCACUGAUUCUGAAUGUGUGAACUUGAACCUUAAUGAUAUUUGGGUCUACAAUACUUCCUUUGAUAUGAUAACACACUUGACUUGUCCAAAAAGAGCUGAGAAGUGUACAGGUAAAAAGAGGGGCUAUACUGAUGAGUCCUUGGCUAAGCUGGAGAUGCAACAAUCAAAUCUUGGAAGCUGUCUAGCCGUCAACUUUGACAUAGGAGCAGUCCGAGGAUCAUAUCUCAGCAACCAGAAGGAAUUAAGCAACAAACUCAACUGCUAUGGAAACUACACUCAUCAGGGUCUCACGUCGAAUUGGAAUCUUGUCGAAAGCUUCUCUUUUGAAAGAGUUAUGGAUUCUACAAGUCGGGUGAUUCUGUGUUUGCUUUGUUUGAAUUUUUCUGAGUAUAGAAACAUCUCAAUCAUAUAUAUGGCGACCAGGUGAGCAUGCUAAGGUAACCAAUCAUGUUUUCAAGAGUUCUUUUAUUGAUUACACAGAUAUGAUGCACUUGUUUUUGUCAAAAGAGUCAUGUGCAGAUUAUAUGGAAGCUUUGAAGCAUGCAAAGACAAAGAACAAGCGUGAGGAAGACAAACGUUUCAAGCCGCCUGAUCUAAGCCAGGAGAGACAUCAGGACGUCACUUGCUUCAUCCUCAUCAAAGAAGCACCUCCAGAUGCAACAUACAAGCCAAAACCGAGAAAAUAUAACUUUGGGAUAAGAAUCUUGCUCUAUGAUGAUUUUGCUUGUGUUAACUUGUCUUGUUUCAAUGUAUCAGGUUUAAGUAAUGCCUCAGGAGUGAGGAAAGUCAAAUGGAACAGUCCCUUCUACCUAAUAGAAGCAGUCAGCGACAAUGCCUAUCAAAGAGGCUUGCAAGGUAAGUGUAAUCUGAUUAUAAACUCUGAUGUUACUGACUUGGUCCCUUCUAUUGCAGGUAACACAGAUUUGAGGACAAAUCUUUUUGAAGUGGGAGGGGAUGAUGUGAUCAUGGAAAGCACCAAGAAAUGGAAUCAUGAACCUGAUCAUGGAGAGCUUGUAGCUGUUGAAGAACCUACACUUGAAGAAUGUCUGAGCCGAAAUAAAGCUUCUAUCAUCAAAGACAACUUGAUCUACAUUCAAGCUACUCUACACUCAAGCUGAUCAUCAUCUAGGCAAGUAGCUUGUGUGUACUCUUUUUCCCUUGAUUGGUUUUGUCCCACUGGGUUUUCCAAUCAAGGUUUUUAAUGAGGCCACAAGUUACUUCUCUUACCUCCUAGAUGAUUGAUCUUGGUCUGUCCACAUGAAGACCUUAUGUUAUAUAAUUUUAUCUAAGUUUUUAUGCUAUGUUUUUAUUUUCGAAAACUCUAGUCUUUGUUGUGUUUCCAAGGGAGCCUUGUCUUUAUUUUCCUUGUAUUUUCGAGACCUUGUGCAUGUACAAG
RNAcentral lists this long non-coding RNA (8535 nucleotides) under Brassica napus (rape). Its description in RNAcentral is "long non-coding RNA (BNAP_LNC023946)". The record is from RNAcentral. Lineage: Eukaryota; Viridiplantae; Streptophyta; Magnoliopsida; Brassicales; Brassicaceae.